GCUACAGUGGCGGGGGAAAAGAGAAGCAGGGCCACCAUCAACUCUGUUGAAAGACCAGCUCUAUCAGGCUCUACCAUGCAUCAAUAGUAACCAGGCAGCAGCUAUUCCAUCAGGCUCCAGCAGAGGACGGAAGGAAGGGAAGGGAAGCAGGGCUACUCCAUCAGCAAUGCCAAGAGACCAGAAACGUUUGGUUCCCCUUCUCCUUGAACUGUUUCCAUUUCUGCUGGUUGUUGUACUGUUGCCUGAUUGAAAGCCUCAAGGCGGAGAUGGUCUUUUUACUGAACUUUGCAAACCACUCGGGGAGCCUUUUUCAGCUGAAGAGCAGGGUACAAAUGCUUCAAAUAGCAACGAAGAAAAAGAAGGAGGAAGAAUUUGAAAAGCUACACUUUUAUCUCUGUAGUGUGAAUGGAGCAGCAGGAUUUACAUGCAAAAUGACAACUCUUCCUAUUGGGAAGCCCCAUAACUCAGUGGCAGACCAUCAGCUUUGCAUGCAGGUCCCAGGUUCAGUCAACAGGUAGGACUGGGAAACAGGGCCUAUCAAACCCCAGAGAGUGGCUGCCAGUCCAUGAUCUUUCAGUUGCCUCAUUGCAUAUAAGGCAGCUUCCUGUGGUCCUAGAGCAGUAGCCUCCAAGCAGCCCAAUGCUGCUGCCCUUCCAAAGGUAGGAAAUGCACACACCAAUUGCUCUUUUAAAAAAGACCAUUCAGGUGUGUAGGUGAAGAGGCAGAAGCCAUAUCCUGGACACAGUCCCACCACAGGUGGUGAACAGGAAGGUUUCUGCUGUCUUUCCAGACGGCCCAUGCUAUCUGUUCUGACAAGCUUUUUGUUGUUGUUGAGCAAAUUCUGGAAGAGGAAGCAUGCAAAGUUAAUCUAGAUAAUGUGUGUGCUGCUGAACCAGCAGCGGGGUGCAUUGGAAGCUUAUUAUUGCUUAAUGCCAUGAUUGAUGAGCUCGAAAAUAGAGCAUUGCAUGAAUGUGGAAUAAUAAAGAGCUUCUUGGUA
This is a long non-coding RNA of Rhineura floridana, 997 nucleotides long. RefSeq lists it as uncharacterized. The transcript has 2 exons. The record is from RefSeq and is a predicted model, not a curated record. Lineage: Eukaryota; Metazoa; Chordata; Lepidosauria; Squamata; Rhineuridae.